This 1875-nucleotide ribosomal RNA is filed under the name Triticum aestivum (bread wheat). RNAcentral's name for it is "partial small subunit ribosomal RNA". Lineage: Eukaryota; Viridiplantae; Streptophyta; Magnoliopsida; Poales; Poaceae. The record is from RNAcentral.
AUGGCCCGGUCCUCCUCCCUCCUCCGCGCCGGCGUGCUCGCCAUGGCGCUCCUCGCCUCCUUCCUCGGCGUCGAGGCCCUCUUCGACCCGUUCAACAUCUUCGGCGGGCGCCCGGAGAACGAUUACCUGGACCCGUUCGGCGGCGGGGCGACCAAGAGCCCGCCCCCGCCCCGCACGGAGCGGGAGGAGACGGGCGCGGCGCAGCCCAACACCAUGGGGCUCACGCGCGUGCCGCCCUUGGGCGAGCCCAGCAAGGCGUCCCAUGAUACCAUGACUGUCAAAGUUACCGUGCGCGACGACAAGCCCGACGGCGCGUGGACCAUCGUCAGCGACAACUCCGGCGUCUCCGCCAUGCACCUCGCCAUCAUGCGCCACGGCCGCGCCAUCAUGUUCGACACCGCCACCACGGGCCGCUCCCUCAUGCGCCUCAGGUUCGACAACUGCCGCGUAGACCCGCGCCUCCACAAGACCGACUGCUGGGCGCACGCCGUCGAGUUCGACUACGCCACCGGCGCCGUCCGGCCCCUCAAGAUCCUCACCGACACCUGGUGCUCCGCCGGGGGGUUCGACGCGGAGGGCAACCUCGUGCAGUCCGGGGGCUACUUCGAGGGCGACAGGACUGUCCGCUACCUCUCGCCCUGCCACACCUGUGACUGGAAGGAGCACCCAUAUAGCCUGUUCGAAGGGCGGUGGUACGCCACCCAGCAGGUGCUCCCCGAUGGCCGCUUCGCCAUCUUCGGCGGCCGCCGCGCAUUCUCCUUCGAGCACCUGCCCAAGCCCGGGAUGUUCAACCACCAGUCCGUGCCGCUCGCGUUGCUCCGGGACACCACCGACGACGUCGAGAACAACCUCUACCCUUUCGUCAACCUCCUCCCCGACGGCAACCUCUUCAUCUUCGCCAACGACCGCGGCAUCAUCUUCGACCACCGCUCCGAGAUCGUCAUCCGCGACGUCCCGCCGCUCCCCGGCGGAGCCCGCAACUACCCGGCGUCCGCCAUGUCGGCCAUGCUCCCGCUCGACCUCCGCGGGAGGCAGCUCCACGGCGGCCCCGAACUCGAGCCGGAGGUCAUCAUCUGCGGCGGCGCCAACAAGACCGCGUUCAAGGUCGGCGAGAUCGGCCAGUACGGACCGGCGCUCAAGGACUGCGGCCGCAUCAACCUGGCCAAACAGGACGCGCAGUGGGUCACCGAGGAAAUGCCCGUGCAACGCGUCAUGGGCGACAUGCUCAUCCUCCCCAACGGCGAGCUGCUCCUGCUCAACGGCGCCGCCAAGGGGUGCGGGGGCUGGGGCUUCGCGCGCCAGCCGGUGCGCUCGCCGAUCCUCUACACGCCGUCGGCGCCGCAGGGGUCCCGCUUCCGCCCGCUCACGCCGUCCACCAUCUCGCGCGUCUACCACUCCACCGCCGCCGUGCUCCCCGACGCCACCGUGCUCGUGGCCGGCGGCAACACCAACGCGGGCUACAACUUCAGCGGCGUCGACUUCCCCACCGAGGUGCGCGUCGAGCGCUUCACGCCGCCCUACCUCGACGGCAGGAGACACGUCGCCAACCGCCCCAUCAUCGACCCCCACUCGCUGCCCAGGGAGGGGAUGCGCUACGGCGCCAAGUACACCUUCAGGUUCCGCACGCCGCUCGACCCCGUUGUCGAGGCCGACGUCAUGGUCACCAUGUACGCGCCGCCCUUCACCACGCACGGCUACUCCAUGAACCAGCGCCUCCUCAUCCUCUCCCUCGCCUCCUUCAUCCCCGACCCACAGGGCUACGCCAUCACCGUCGACGCGCCCGGCAAGCCUGAGCUCGCGCCGCCCGCCUACUACCUCGUCUACGUCAUCGCCAAGAACGUGCCCAGCAUCGCCGUAUGGGUCAAGAUACAGUGA